GCCUGGGUGGCUCAGUCGGUAGAGUGACCGACUUCGGCUCAGGUCACGAUCUCACAGCUCGUGGGUUCGAGUCCCACAUCGGGCU
Molecule: transfer RNA, 85 nt
Filed under: Felis catus (domestic cat)
Lineage: Eukaryota; Metazoa; Chordata; Mammalia; Carnivora; Felidae
Rfam family: tRNA
About the family: Transfer RNA (tRNA) molecules are approximately 80 nucleotides in length. Their secondary structure includes four short double-helical elements and three loops (D, anti-codon, and T loops). Further hydrogen bonds mediate the characteristic L-shaped molecular structure. tRNAs have two regions of fundamental functional importance: the anti-codon, which is responsible for specific mRNA codon recognition, and the 3' end, to which the tRNAs corresponding amino acid is attached (by aminoacyl-tRNA synthetases). tRNAs cope with the degeneracy of the genetic code in two manners: having more than one tRNA (with a specific anti-codon) for a particular amino acid; and 'wobble' base-pairing, i.e. permitting non-standard base-pairing at the 3rd anti-codon position.
Source: Rfam by way of RNAcentral